This 516-nucleotide ribosomal RNA is filed under the name uncultured bacterium. RNAcentral's name for it is "bacterial SSU rRNA". It matches the Rfam family "Bacterial small subunit ribosomal RNA", at positions 992 to 1509 of the family's 1533-position model. The record is from RNAcentral.
AGAACUUAGCAGAGAUGCUUUGGUGCCUUCGGGAGCUCUGAGACAGGUGCUGCAUGGCUGUCGUCAGCUCGUGUUGUGAAAUGUUGGGUUAAGUCCCGCAACGAGCGCAACCCUUAUCCUUUGUUGCCAGCGGCUCGGCCGGGAACUCAAAGGAGACUGCCGGUGAUAAACCGGAGGAAGUGGGGAUGACGUCAAGUCAUCAUGGCCCUUACGGCCAGGGCUACACACGUGCUACAAUGGCGCAUACAAAGAGAAGCGACCUCGCGAGAGCAAGCGGACCUCAUAAAGUGCGUCGUAGUCCGGAUUGGAGUCUGCAACUCGACUCCAUGAAGUCGGAAUCGCUAGUAAUCGUAGAUCAGAAUGCUACGGUGAAUACGUUCCCGGGCCUUGUACACACCGCCCGUCACACCAUGGGAGUGGGUUGCAAAAGAAGUAGGUAGCUUAACCUUCGGGAGGGCGCUUACCACUUUGUGAUUCAUGACUGGGGUGAAGUCGUAACAAGGUAAGCGUAGCGAG